This 440-nucleotide ribosomal RNA is filed under the name uncultured bacterium. RNAcentral describes it as "partial 16S ribosomal RNA". It matches the Rfam family "Bacterial small subunit ribosomal RNA", at positions 338 to 795 of the family's 1533-position model. The record is from RNAcentral.
CCUACGGGUGGCAGCAGUGGGGGAUAUUGCACAAUGGGGGCAACCCUGAUGCAGCGAUGCCGCGUGAGUGAAGAAGUACUUCGGUAUGUAAAGCUCUAUCAGCAGGGAGGAAAAUGACGUUACCUGACCACAAAGCCCCUGCGAACUCCGUCCCAGCAACCGCGGUAAUACGUAGGGGGCAAGCUGUAUCCGGAUUUACUGGGUGUAAAGUGAGCGUAGAUGGUUAUGUAAGUCUGGUGUGAAAGCCCCGGGCUCAACCUCGGGACUGCUUUGGAUACUGGGUCACUGGAGUACAGUAGGGGCAGGCAGAAUUCCAGGUGUAGCGGUGAAAGGCGUAGAGAUCUGGAGGAAUACCGGUGGCGAAGGCGGCCCGCUGGACGGAAACUGACGCUCAGGUGCGAAAGCGUGGGGAGCAAACAGGAUUAGAUACCCCUGUAGUC